This is an RNA transcript of Crotalus tigris (Tiger rattlesnake), 3110 nucleotides long. It is a transcript of the gene named interleukin-17 receptor B-like, with no coding region annotated. The transcript is spliced from 3 exons. Lineage: Eukaryota; Metazoa; Chordata; Lepidosauria; Squamata; Viperidae. The record is from RefSeq and is a predicted model, not a curated record.
CAGCUCCUAGAAUUCUGCGGUCAGCAUUCUGAGAGUUGAAGCCCACACAUGAGACUUGAAGUCCACACAUCUCCACAACCGAGACUCGCCUAGUGUGGUAGUCUGCACAUUCCGGCUUCUCGGUUUCGAAAGGCAGCGUGCGACAGGAUUCUUAUCUCUUCGUCUUAUAACCCAAGUUGGCAGGGCUCCCUCUGAGCAGCGAGCUCCUGGCGGAGCUACGGUAUAGGUUGCGGUGAGGCGCGGGGCGGAGGAAAGAUAUAAACGUGGCUGAGGGGUAGGUUAGGAGGCUUGGUUGAGUCUUCCUCAAAGAGGCUAAGCGAGAAGAGCGAGCAGGCUAAGAGGCAGCUCCUGGGAGAGCCGGCCGGGAUGAAUGCUGCGGCGUGGGCGCUGCUGGGCUGGAUGCUGAGCAGAAAGAGCUUCCAGGGAGAAGCCCAGUUGGUAAGCGAUGCCCAAAGUGCUUGGCGCCUUUUCUUCCCUGCGUUGGCUUCGAGCCUUGCCCCUCGCCUGCUGGGUAGCGGGCAGAAAUUCGGGAGGCUUUGAAGAAAGCUCAGGCGCUUGAACGCCUGCCUGGGAAAGGUAGCUUUUAAAUGGCCCGCCCCUUCCUCUGCUUUGGAGAUAUUUAGUUGCCACUCAGGGCUUUGGGAGAAACCCCUUGUGGUGGAAGGAGAGGGGCGGUUCUACAAAGUAUGGCUUAUCUAAUUUGUGUCGGUUGAAAUAUCAGCAACAGUUCUAUUAUAAUAGCAUGCUUAGGGAAACUACUUUUAAAAAAGCCAAGAAUUAAUUAGUCACAGCCUGGUGCAAAUAAACUUUUGAAAGACUUAAUUCUGAAAUUAGGAACUGUUUUUUAGUAGAAAUGAUGAGAGAUUGGGGAUGAAAUGCUUUCUUGAUGGACUUGUAAAAAAGCAAAUAAUUUCUGGGUUCAAAUACAUACGUUACAAAAAUUUUUAAAGCUCAAUAUUCAGCUGAAAAUAGUAUUCUUGCUGGAGAUAUUAUAUAUAUGCCAUAUCUAUAGCUAGCUGUAGAUUAACUUCUUAACCCAUUAGUUUGAGACCAUACUUAGCUGACUGGUUAACAUCCAUUUUGCCAGUAAUUGUUUUUUUUGUUAGGAUUGAAAAAUGAUGAAGGUGAAAGAGGAAUGAAUCCAUUUACCCAACAAUGAACACCUUCGAGGACGGUGGAAUACAAACACAAUAAUCCUAUCAAAUGCUAUAAAGAAGAUGGUAUGUAUAAAUAAAAUGUGUUUUUAAGGGUUAAAAUUGUUAAAAUUCUGUUGCAAGUAUUGGACAUUCAUGCACCCCAUUUCCAUUGUAGGUAGUUUAAGAUACAAUGAAUAUAUGAAGUCCUUGUGGUCUUUUUAAUCAAUGUGCAUCUAAACAAGUAUACUCAUCAUAUGCCUGCUUAACUUUUGCCUUUCCUUGACUGAUUAGGCCAGACGAAGGCCAGACAGAGGCCACAGAUGACAAUCAGUGUGUCACAGAAGGAGGAAAGAACUGAAGUCUCCAGCCUUAAGUCUGUUGUAAAGCCUCUUGUGUGAAGAACCCUCCUUUAGAUUCCACUGAGUUGAAUAAUAUCUGACCAGUUUGUCAUUCCUAAAGAUAAUGGUUAACCUUCUCUGUUCCAAACUAAAGCAAACUAAAGCAAUAAUACUUAAAGAAUGCAAUGCUGUUGGUUAGUCUGUAAAUAAAUACUAGUGACUUUCUCAAGGGCGGUAUAAUGAGUAGACUUGAGACCGUGAAUUCUUUUUAACAUUAUACUGUUAUAGUAUUUCUAUUAAUAUUUCCAAUUGUGAAUAAGUAGCAGAAAAAGUGAAUAAAGAAAACACAAGGGAUUGGAAAGGAAUGGCAUGGCUUAUACUUCCUAAAGGUAUUGUUGAAAUGCAGCAGAUAUAUAAAAUUAUGCAUAGGAAGGAUGGCUUUGGAUUUUGCAUGAACUUUUUAUGUACUUCAGGACUCCAAGAUCACACUUCCAUCAUUUGAUGGAAAAACAAUUAAAUUUCAGUGUAAAAAUUUUGCACUUUGAAAAAAUUAAUGUCAUCCCAUUCCUGCUCAUUUUCUGAAUCAGCAUGUAUUCUGAUGACAGUUUUAGCCAUCAUAAGAACUUGAGAAGAGAGUACAAUAAGCAAAUGAUCUUGAAAAUUACAUUUCAAAUUGUUUAGCAUAUGGAAUUUUAAUGAUGACAGCAGGCUAUGUUUCUCCAGGUUAAAUUAGUACACAUGCAUUUUUGUGUGAUUUUGAUUCUUCUUACAUUUUCUCCUUCAAGAAAGGUAUGAAGUAAAAUGGCUGCCAAAGUCUAUCAAGAGAUCUUUAAUUCUAAAUGUCUCACUUGGAGGAAGGUGUAGGAUAAUCAAAAAAGAGUCAUACUGCAGCUGGACUCUUACUGGCAAACUCUCCAAUCCAGCUCCUAUAGAUUCUGUAGCUAUUGGCAUUUCUGUACCCUUUCUAGAAGGAUGGCCAAGGCAGAAGGAACUCCAGAUGAUGUGCCACCAGCAUGGAUUUUUCUGGGAAUGAAUGGUAGUGUUCAGAGAAGGAGGAGUAUAAAGCAUCCAAAGCUUCAAGACCUUGUAGGCUAGUUGGCUAGCCUAAUAAACUGGAGGUUUUCACUGCAAAUGUAUUAACUCCUCACUUUCAUUCUUUGCAAGGGCCUCAUCCUGAGUUGGAACAAGAACAUAGAUUCACACCAGCAGAUCUUUUUAAUAUCAGCAUCAAGAUUGUUGAAAUACAAGGAAUAUGCAAAUUUAACAUAAGUUGGAUCCUUAAUGAAGAUGCCAGUAUACAAUACUUGAAGGCAACCAAGAUAUGUGAAUCCCGUGAAGGCUGUAUUCGAUGUGAUUACCUAGAAGCAUUUCAAAGUCAAACCAUGUCUAAGCAUAAAAAAGUAAGAACAUUUUUUAAAAGUUGUGGUUUGCUGCUAUUAUAUUGUAUUGAUAGAAUAUGGUCUUACUCAGUUUAGUAACCUAAUGCAAUAGUAAAUUAUUUCUUUUAAGAUAACAUGAUAAGUUAGACUCUGUACAAUAGAACAAAAAUCUUCUGAACUGAAAUGACAAAAACCUGGUUUUUAUGUAAAAUUAUUGUGAGAUGAAAAUAAACUUCAGUGCUCCAAAUGUGCUCAAA